AUGUAAAUUAUUAUUAAAAAUUUCAAAAUAAAUGUGCAGUAAAUAUUUUUUUAAAUAAGAGAAAUCUUGAAUUAGAAAUUUAUUAAAUAAUUAACUAAUAUUGUGCCAGCAGUUGCGGUUAUACAAUAAAUUUAAAGGAAUUUAUUAGGUAUAUUAAUUAUGAUAUAAAUUGAAAUUAAUAAUAAUAUUUAAAGGUAAAAUUUUUAUAUUAUUUUAUUUCUUAUUUUGUUAAUUAAGAAAUAAAUUAAUAAAUCAGGAUUAGAUACCCUGUUAUUUAAUGUAAAAUAUCUGGAGUAGUAAAAGUUAUAAUCUCAAAACUCAAAAGAUUUGGCGGUAUUUUAUCUUAUUAGAGGAACCUGUUUAUUAAUUGAUAUUCCACAACUAUAAUUUAUUUUUAUUAAUUUACUUGUAUGCCGCCGUCAUGAGUAUAUUUAUAAGUUUAUUUUCUUUAUUUUUAUAAAAAUUUAUGUUAGGUCAAGGUGCAGUUUAUAAAAGAAUAAAAUGGGUUACAUUAAAAAUUAUGAAUGAAAUUAAUAUUAAAUAUUUAUUAAAGAAAUAGGAUUUAAAAGUAAAUUUAUUAUAGAAUUAAUAUGAAUUUAGAUUCUAAAAUAUGUACAUAUUGCCCGUCACUCUUAUAUAAAAUAAGAUAAGUCGUAACAUAGUAGGCGUACCGGAAGGUGCGCCU
Molecule: ribosomal RNA, 685 nt
Filed under: Trioza erytreae
Lineage: Eukaryota; Metazoa; Arthropoda; Insecta; Hemiptera; Triozidae
Description: 12S ribosomal RNA
Source: RNAcentral